AUGUACAACACAUCAUCCUGGGAUGGAGGAUCUUUCUGUGAAGCUCACACUGGUUUUAAUUCAGCAUACUGCUGCCACAGGUCCUGGGGCUCAUUUUCUAAUGUCAUGGCUGACUCUAAGAUCUCUUUAACUACAAUCAAAAUCCAACAUCCUGUCAGGUAUUUGGAUGUAGGUUCAUUCUUUGAGAAAGAGGAAGCUGGAGUGAGCUGUCACAAAAGAGAUGCCAUUAAAUGAAAAAUGUCUCAACAUUCAAAAGGGUGACCUCAAAUUUUAUUCUGCAAUUACAUUUGUAAACACACAAAUUUUAAGUAAACUUGAAAAUAUGUGACAGUAUUUCGUUUGUUUUGUUGCCUAGAACUCACCAAUGGGACAAAAAAAAGAAAAACAUUCAGGAAGAUGACACUCCAUUUUAUGCUCAUCACCCCCAAACACCAAAUGCAACUUUCAUGGGAUAAAUGAUGGAUUAUUUUCAAUCCUUCAGCUAUCAAAAGGAACAUGAUCUAAAGCAUCACUUCUACUGGAAUCAUAAAUGACUUGAAAAAUUCAGUCUUUUAUUGGAUGUUGGUCAUUUUCCUCCACAUCUUAAACUAUCUCAAGAAAUCACCAUCUAUCUUCGGAAUUGUCUCUGUUUUGGUAAGUGCUAAUAACUCCUUUGUGACUACACCUGAAGGCAAGUACUAUGGACAGCAGUUAAAUAGGAAUAGAGUUCAAAUAGAAGCUGCUUUUCCUCUAAAACACUCCUUAAAAUGAAAUGAAUAUUUAAAUUGAGAAUGUCAUGUGAGUAUUCCCCUUACAUAUUUUUCUUAUUGAUUUCAAUAACUCCUGUAUAAUACUUAAAACCGUUUUUUACACUUGUUUCUACAAUAACCAAUAUCCUCUUGCUAGAAUGACAGCAUUGUUUUCUAAAGAGAAUAGCUAUUUCUAGUGGACACGCAAACCGUAUUUAAUUCUACGUCUAUUUCCUAAAAAAGCCUAUUUUAUUUGCUAACAUGGUACACUGCCCAAGCUAUACAUAGCUAGCCUAAUCUAUGUUCAAAAACUCGUUCUACAGUCCAUCACUGACUGACUAUUGCUGACUUAAAGAAAAGCAAUGGGUUUCACUUGUGUCGGUGGAACAGUGCUUUUUCAUGGGGCAAACUAAACCACAUUCCUUGAAAGAACAGUGAUGGCCCACUUGUACAUUCUCCUGUAACUACUGCUUUAUGAGGAAAUAGUCUGAGAUGUAUAGAGAUGG
This 1234-nucleotide long non-coding RNA is filed under the name Mus spicilegus (steppe mouse). RNAcentral's name for it is "lncRNA (ENSMSIG00000022803.1)". Lineage: Eukaryota; Metazoa; Chordata; Mammalia; Rodentia; Muridae. The record is from RNAcentral.